Molecule: ribosomal RNA, 491 nt
Filed under: uncultured bacterium
Lineage: Bacteria
Description: partial 16S ribosomal RNA
Rfam family: Bacterial small subunit ribosomal RNA
Source: RNAcentral
AGUGAACGCUGGCGGUAGGCCUAACACAUGCAAGUCGAACGGCAGCACAGUAAGAGCUUGCUCUUACGGGUGGCGAGUGGCGGACGGGUGAGGAAUACAUCGGAAUCUACUUUUUCGUGGGGGAUAACGUAGGGAAACUUACGCUAAUACCGCAUACGACCUACGGGUGAAAGCAGGGGAUCUUCGGACCUUGCGCGAUUGAAUGAGCCGAUGUCGGAUUAGCUAGUUGGCGGGGUAAAGGCCCACCAAGGCGACGAUCCGUAGCUGGUCUGAGAGGAUGAUCAGCCACACUGAAACUGAGACACGGUCCAGACUCCUACGGGAGGCAGCAGUGGGGAAUAUUGGACAAUGGGCGCAAGCCUGAUCCAGCCAUACCGCGUGGGUGAAGAAGGCCUUCGGGUUGUAAAGCCCUUUUGUUGGGAAAGAAAAGCAGCAGGUUAAUACCCCGCUGUUCUGACGGUACCCAAAGAAUAAGCACCGGCUAACUGCGU